RNAcentral lists this ribosomal RNA (486 nucleotides) under uncultured bacterium. RNAcentral describes it as "partial 16S ribosomal RNA". It matches the Rfam family "Bacterial small subunit ribosomal RNA", at positions 30 to 507 of the family's 1533-position model. The record is from RNAcentral.
AUUGAACGCUGGCGGCAUGCCUUACACAUGCAAGUCGAACGGCAGCACGGGUGCUUGCCCCUGGUGGCGAGUGGCGAACGGGUGAGUAAUACAUCGGAACAUGUCCUGUAGUGGGGGAUAGCCCGGCGAAAGCCGGAUUAAUACCGCAUACGAUCUACGGAUGAAAGCGGGGGACCUUCGGGCCUCGCGCUAUAGGGUUGGCCGAUGGCUGAUUAGCUAGUUGGUGGGGUAAAGGCCUACCAAGGCGACGAUCAGUAGCUGGUCUGAGAGGACGACCAGCCACACUGGGACUGAGACACGGCCCAGACUCCUACGGGAGGCAGCAGUGGGGAAUUUUGGACAAUGGGCGAAAGCCUGAUCCAGCAAUGCCGCGUGUGUGAAGAAGGCCUUCGGGUUGUAAAGCACUUUUGUCCGGAAAGAAAUCCUUGGCCCUAAUACGGUCGGGGGACGACGGUACCGGAAGAAUAAGCACCGGCUAACUACGUG